RNAcentral lists this ribosomal RNA (1292 nucleotides) under Salmonella enterica subsp. enterica. RNAcentral's name for it is "partial 23S ribosomal RNA". It matches the Rfam family "Bacterial large subunit ribosomal RNA", at positions 1589 to 2857 of the family's 2925-position model. Lineage: Bacteria; Pseudomonadati; Pseudomonadota; Gammaproteobacteria; Enterobacterales; Enterobacteriaceae. The record is from RNAcentral.
AGCAACAAAUGCCCUGCUUCCAGGAAAAGCCUCUAAGCCUCAGGUAACAUCAAAUCGUACCCCAAACCGACACAGGUGGUCAGGUAGAGAAUACCAAGGCGCUUGAGAGAACUCGGGUGAAGGAACUAGGCAAAAUGGUGCCGUAACUUCGGGAGAAGGCACGCUGACACGUAGGUGAAGUGGUUUACCCAUGGAGCUGAAGUCAGUCGAAGAUACCAGCUGGCUGCAACUGUUUAUUAAAAACACAGCACUGUGCAAACACGAAAGUGGACGUAUACGGUGUGACGCCUGCCCGGUGCCGGAAGGUUAAUUGAUGGGGUCAGCGCAAGCGAAGCUCCUGAUCGAAGCCCCGGUAAACGGCGGCCGUAACUAUAACGGUCCUAAGGUAGCGAAAUUCCUUGUCGGGUAAGUUCCGACCUGCACGAAUGGCGUAAUGAUGGCCAGGCUGUCUCCACCCGGGACUCAGUGAAAUUGAACUCGCUGUGAAGAUGCAGUGUACCCGCGGCAAGACGGAAAGACCCCGUGAACCUUUACUAUAGCUUGACACUGAACACUGGUCCUUGAUGUGCAGGAUAGGUGGGAGGCUUUGAAGUGUGGACGCCAGUCUGCAUGGAGCCAUCCUUGAAAUACCACCCUUUAAUGGCUGGUGUUCUAACGUGGGCCCGUGAACCGGGUUGCGGACAGUGUCUGGUGGGUAGUUUGACUGGGGCGGUCUCCUCCUAAAGAGUAACGGAGGAGCACGAAGGUUGGCUAAUCCUGGUCGGACAUCAGGAGGUUAGUGCAAUGGCAUAAGCCAGCUUGACUGCGAGCGUGACGGCGCGAGCAGGUGCGAAAGCAGGUCAUAGUGAUCCGGUGGUUCUGAAUGGAAGGGCCAUCGCUCAACGGAUAAAAGGUACUCCGGGGAUAACAGGCUGAUACCGCCCAAGAGUUCAUAUCGACGGCGGUGUUUGGCACCUCGAUGUCGGCUCAUCACAUCCUGGGGCUGAAGUAGGUCCCAAGGGUAUGGCUGUUCGCCAUUUAAAGUGGUACGCGAGCUGGGUUUAGAACGUCGUGAGACAGUUCGGUCCCUAUCUGCCGUGGGCGCUGGAAGAUUGAGGGGGGCUGCUCCUAGUACGAGAGGACCGGAGUGGACGCAUCACUGGUGUUCGGGUUGUCAUGCCAAUGGCACUGCCCGGUAGCUACAUGCGGAAGAGAUAAGUGCUGAAAGCAUCUAAGCACGAAACUUGCCCCGAGAUGAAUCUUCCCUGAGCCUUUAAGGCUCCUGAAGGAACGUUGAAGACGACGACGUUGAU